UGAAGAUUUGAAACUUAGGCUGCUAACUUGAGUUUGGGGAAAAUCGUUCUCCAUCUUCAU
RNAcentral lists this transfer RNA (60 nucleotides) under Cadlina koreana. Its description in RNAcentral is "tRNA-Ser". The record is from RNAcentral. Lineage: Eukaryota; Metazoa; Mollusca; Gastropoda; Nudibranchia; Chromodorididae.